ACGUAGGUGGCAAGCGUUAUCCGGAUUUAUUGGGUUUAAAGGGUGCGUAGGUGGGUAUGUAAGUCAGUGGUGAAAUCCCCGAGCUUAACUUGGGAACUGCCGUUGAUACUAUAUAUCUUGAAUAUCGCGUAGGUAAGCGGAAUAUGUCAUGUAGCGGUGAAAUGCUUAGAUAUGACAUAGAACACCAAUUGCGAAGGCAGCUUACUUCACGAUUAUUGACACUGAGGCACGAAAGCGUGGGUAGCAAACA
RNAcentral lists this ribosomal RNA (250 nucleotides) under uncultured bacterium. RNAcentral's name for it is "partial 16S ribosomal RNA". It matches the Rfam family "Bacterial small subunit ribosomal RNA", at positions 525 to 774 of the family's 1533-position model. The record is from RNAcentral.